ACCGAGAACUCAUGAAAAACCUAGGAAAUCUCUUGCAUCAAGGCUGCACACGCCCGUGUAGGUAUAGAGCAGACGCCCGUGUCCUGAACCCAUGUCCAAAAACCUAGACAAAUACAAGGCUAUUUUCCAAGCCAUUUUGUCACCCUCACAACACAUGCACACAUACUUAUACAAUAGCAUACAACAUGGCAAAAUUUGGCACUUAAACAUUUCUAACAUGAUAUGACCAUGGUAAUUUCACAUGCAACCAUUGCAAUAAGUUUUUC
This 266-nucleotide long non-coding RNA is filed under the name Gossypium barbadense (sea-island cotton). Its description in RNAcentral is "long non-coding RNA (GBAR_LNC002826)". Lineage: Eukaryota; Viridiplantae; Streptophyta; Magnoliopsida; Malvales; Malvaceae. The record is from RNAcentral.